AACAGAGAAGUGCUUGCACUUUCAAAGUUAGCGGCGGACGGGUGAGUAACACGUAAGGAACCUACCGAUAAGCGGGGGACAACAUCCGGAAACGGGUGCUAAUACCGCAUAGGAAGUUUGUUCGCAUGAACAAACUUAGAAAGAUGGCUCUGCUAUCACUUAUCGAUGGCCUUGUGGUGCAUUAACUAGUUGGCGAGGUAACGGCUCACCAAGGUGAUGAUGCAUAGCCGACCUGAGAGGGUAAUCGGCCACAUUGGGACUGAGACACGGCCCAAACUCCUACGGGAGGCAGCAGUAGGGAAUCUUCCGCAAUGGACGCAAGUCUGACGGAGCAACGCCGCGUGAGUGAAGAAGGUUUUCGGAUCGUAAAACUCUGUUGUAAGAGAAGAACAAAUUGUAGAGUAACCGCUACAGUCUUGACGGUAUCUUACCAGAAAGCCACGGCUAACUACGUGCCGGCAGCCGCGGUAAUACGUAGGUGGCAAGCGUUGUCCGGAUUUAUUGGGCGUAAAGGGGGCGCAGGCUGCUUCUUAAGUCUGAUGUGAAAGCCCACGGCUUAACCGUGGAAGUGCAUUGGAAACUGGGAAGCUUGAGUACAGAAGAGGAAAGUGGAACUCCAUGUGUAGCGGUGGAAUGCGUAGAUAUAUGGAAGAACACCAGUGGCGAAAGCGACUUUCUGGUCUGUCACUGACGCU
Molecule: ribosomal RNA, 695 nt
Filed under: uncultured bacterium
Lineage: Bacteria
Description: bacterial SSU rRNA
Rfam family: Bacterial small subunit ribosomal RNA
Source: RNAcentral